GAAUAGUUGAAUAUAAGUAUUGUAAAGGUACAAAAAGUCAGGUGUGAUGGAUUGCGUACAAACCAAUAAGGUGUCAGAAUGGUACAUGUUUAUACUUCUCAUCCAGCCACAAUCAAAUUCAGUCAAUCCAGAUGGCAUAAUUUAUCUGGAUAUAUAUAUUUUUUUAUUUGAACGAUGACAAGCCGGAACGAAAACAAGC
Sphaeramia orbicularis (orbiculate cardinalfish) is the source of this 199-nucleotide long non-coding RNA. RefSeq lists it as uncharacterized. The transcript is spliced from 3 exons. The record is from RefSeq and is a predicted model, not a curated record. NCBI's taxonomy places the organism in Eukaryota, Metazoa, Chordata, Actinopteri, Kurtiformes, Apogonidae.